AUGUGUUGGUCCUGUUUCUGGGAUGUCCCCCUCAGUCCUGGGCUUUUGAAUCAUCCCCCUGUCCCCUCCUCCACUGAGCAGGUUGGGAGAAAUCAAGGCCCAGAUCCUACUACAGGGUUGGGAUCUCCUGAGCAGGGUUGGAGCCUCAUUGAACAGUUGCUGCCAAAAUUGCCUGGAAGAGCGGACAGGGGUUCGUGCGCACAGAGGCACGCUGGACCUCAGAAACCUGAAGAUGCCAGACGCUUUCUCUGCCUGCAAACAACAGGCUCCCAAGAAACUCUAGAAUCACACCUCCUCCUUCCCCAGUGUGUGUGGGGGAAUGUCAAUUCCACCUUCUCCUCCCACGGGAAACUGCUUACCAGGUCAGCUCUUGGGAAUGACUCCCUAAUCAUAAAGGGCUGACCCGGCCUGCCUUCACCCCAGUUUCUGCUUCCAAUGCUUUUCAGACCUGCUGCUCUGAGAGGCACUUCUGGGGAGGCACACGUUUGUGCCCGUGCACGCUGUGGUGGUACAGGCACAAGAAGGGAAGCACUGGCAGCUGGUACUUGCUGAACUGGAGCAUUUACAGACACUGCAAGUGAAGUCCCCCCAGCGAACUGAGAAGGUUGCCUCUGCUUCCACCCUCAUCUUCUCAUCCUUCUGCAAAGGCUCUUGGACUUACACUGAUCCUUCCAUCCAUGAGGGGGAGAAAACCCCACAGGAUGUUCUCAACCUCAGUUCAUGUUCUUUCAAGGCAACCAGACCUCAAAGAGUUUCUAAAAGACUGAGGCAGAUUGUCCCAAAGUACAAGCGGGAUCUCACAUUAAAAACACAUGAUGCUACUCCACUUUCACGAGUCUCUCUGAACGGCAAUCAGACUUUCAGGAGAGCCUGAUGAGAAGAGGGAAUACAAACUGGGGUCUGCAAACCAGUGUCAACUGCGAUGGUCUCCUAUGGUCAAGCCUCAGCCCGCAGAUCUGCUGCUGUAGGACCGGCCUAAGGAAUGCACACCUGAGCCUAUGUUCUUUUAUGACCAAAACCCCAGGAGCUGUGUCAGUGACACUGUCGAGGGCCAGCGGGUGAACAGAUCCCAUUUCUGCUCUUGGUGCCUCGGGCGCAGCAUCAUUCAAUGAAAGUGCCAGAAUUAAGACAUGGGUCAUAUCAUUGUCUCGGUUGUAAGGAAUACAGAGAGAAUUCAUUGAGAUAGACAGACUGGGGCAGAAGAAUGUGGGGAGGACAAAAUGAGUUGGUAGAAAUUUCAAGCCACCUUGGCAGAGUUUACAGAUCACUUUCUCGCUGUGAGGAGCUAGAUGCACUGGAGGGUUAAUAGGUAGAAAUCUUCCAUUUUUCCACUAUUAGUGAAUAAAGAGUUCCCUGACAUGAGGAGUUUAUAUAUU
This 1376-nucleotide long non-coding RNA is filed under the name Sus scrofa (pig). Its description in RNAcentral is "lncRNA (ENSSSCG00025050385.1)". The record is from RNAcentral. Lineage: Eukaryota; Metazoa; Chordata; Mammalia; Artiodactyla; Suidae.